GUCCUUGCCUUCUCCCUUGUUUGAGAAAGGAAUUCUUUGUUCUACAGAGCUGCAUCUGCCAGGGUAGCUGACCUACAAUCCUCGGAGGCUCUCCUACCUCCACUCCAGUCACCACUGAAGACCGGAACUACAGACAGCCGCUACGAAACCUCUGGGCUAGAAAACCUGCUAAGGAACAGCACGAAGCUGCCUACAUGCCGGGAGAAGGAAUUCAUCCUUCUUGCUGCCUAAGCAAACAAUUCACACAACAGUGAACCGCUUCCUUCUCCACUCAGCUCCCUCUCCUGCUUCAGGGCUCCUGACGUGGCUGCUCCCAAGCUGCAGAUCCUGAUUAGUUGCAGAUUUAUACAUACCAGCCCGCCAGCCAUCCUGAGUUACAGUGAAUCCGCUGGCCUCUCAGCUAUCCUAAGCCCUGGGCUUUGAGCCAAGACUCUACCGAAGACUUCAGAGCUGCAAGGAAACCACAUCACACAAGAUGUUUCCAGUUUUAAAAGAAAUGCAAAGGUACUUACGAGAACACGUAGCACUGAAGAGACGUCGAGACAACCAAGUGUGCGUGGUUCAGAGAUGCUUUAAUGACUCUGUCCCGGAACUCCAGCAAAUCCACAGCAUCAUUGAGAACAUUGCGAACCUAAGCAAGAAAACACGAGGGAAAGAAAUAUCAACAAACAAUGUUUUUUAAAAUGAAAUCUAAA
Apodemus sylvaticus (European woodmouse) is the source of this 695-nucleotide long non-coding RNA. RefSeq lists it as uncharacterized. The record is from RefSeq and is a predicted model, not a curated record. Lineage: Eukaryota; Metazoa; Chordata; Mammalia; Rodentia; Muridae. The transcript has 5 exons.